Molecule: ribosomal RNA, 203 nt
Filed under: uncultured bacterium
Lineage: Bacteria
Description: partial 16S ribosomal RNA
Rfam family: Bacterial small subunit ribosomal RNA
Source: RNAcentral
AUUGAAGGCUGAAAUUCGCCUUCAUGAAGCCGGAAUUGCUAGUAAUGGCAGGUCAGCAUACUGCCGUGAAUACGUUCCCGGGCCUUGUACACACCGCCCGUCACACCAUGAGAGUUGGGAAUACCCGAAGCCUGUGAGCUAACUUAUAGAGGCAGCAGUCGAAGGUAGAAUCAAUGAUUGGGGUGAAGUCGUAACAAGGUACC